AUUGGUGGAAUGUAUGUUGAUAGUGUAUGAUUGGUGGAAGGAAUGUUGGUAGGGUAUGAUUGUUGGAAGGUAUGUUGGUAGUGUAUGAUUGUUGGAAGGUAUGUUGGUAGUGUAUGAUUGGUGUAAUUGGAGUAUGAUAAAUUGUAGUGUAUGAUUGGUAGUGUAUGAUUGUUGGAAGGUAUGUUGGUAGUGUAUGAUCUGUGCAAGGUAUGUUGAUAGUGUUUGAUUGGUGGAAGGUAUGUUGGUAGUGUAUGAUUGGUGGAAGGUAUGUUGGUAGUGUAUGAUCUGUGGAAGGUAUGUUGGUAGUGUAUGAUCUGUGGAAGGUAUGUUGGUAGUGUAUGAUCUGUGGAAGGUAUGUUGGUAGUGUAUGAUCUGUGGAAGGUAUGUUGGUAGUGUAUGAUUGGUGGAAGGUAUGUUGGUAGUGUAUGAUUGGUAGAAGGUAUGUUGGUAGUGUAUGAUUGGUGGAAGGUAUGUUGGUAGUGUAUGAUUGGUGGAAGGUAUGUUGGUAGUGUAUGAUUGGUAGAAGGUAUGUUGGUAGUGUAUGAUUGGUGGAAGGUAUGUUGGUAGUGUAUGAUUGGUGGAAGGUAUGUUGGCAGUGUAUGAUUGGUGUAAGGUAUGUUGCAAGUGUAUGAUUGUUGGAAGGUAUGUAGGCAGUGUAUGAUUGGUGGAAGGUAUGUUGGAAGCGUAUGAUUGGUGGAAUGUAUGUUGGAAGUGUAUGAUUGAUGGAAAGUAUGUUGGUAGUGUAUGAUUGGUGGAAGGUAUGUUGGUAGUGUAUGAUUGGUGGAAGGUAUGUUGGUAGUGUAUGAUUGGUAGCAUAUGAUUGGUGGAAGGUAUGUAGGCAGUGUAUGAUUGGUGGAAGGUAUGUUGGUAGCGUAUGAUUGGUGGA
Long non-coding RNA from Mytilus californianus (California mussel), 886 nucleotides. RefSeq lists it as uncharacterized. NCBI's taxonomy places the organism in Eukaryota, Metazoa, Mollusca, Bivalvia, Mytilida, Mytilidae. The record is from RefSeq and is a predicted model, not a curated record. The transcript is spliced from 7 exons.